This 492-nucleotide ribosomal RNA is filed under the name uncultured bacterium. Its description in RNAcentral is "partial 16S ribosomal RNA". It matches the Rfam family "Bacterial small subunit ribosomal RNA", at positions 29 to 507 of the family's 1533-position model. The record is from RNAcentral.
AGUGAACGCUGGCGGUAGGCCUAACACAUGCAAGUCGAACGGUAGCACAGUAAGAGCUUGCUCUUACGGGUGGCGAGUGGCGGACGGGUGAGGAAUACAUCGGAAUCUACUUUUUCGUGGGGGAUAACGUAGGGAAACUUACGCUAAUACCGCAUACGACCUACGGGUGAAAGCAGGGGAUCUUCGGACCUUGCGCGAUUGAAUGAGCCGAUGUCGGAUUAGCUAGUUGGCGGGGUAAAGGCCCACCAAGGCGACGAUCCGUAGCUGGUCUGAGAGGAUGAUCAGCCACGCUGGAACUGAGACACGGUCCAGACUCCUACGGGAGGCAGCAGUGGGGAAUAUUGGACAAUGGGCGCAAGCCUGAUCCAGCCAUACCGCGUGGGUGAAGAAGGCCUUCGGGUUGUAAAGCCCUUUUGUUGGGAAAGAAAAGCAGCAGGUUAAUACCCCGCUGUUCUGACGGUACCCAAAGAAUAAGCACCGGCUAACUUCGUG